This 559-nucleotide ribosomal RNA is filed under the name Lucilia cuprina (Australian sheep blowfly). Its description in RNAcentral is "eukaryotic LSU rRNA". It matches the Rfam family "Eukaryotic large subunit ribosomal RNA", at positions 99 to 643 of the family's 3401-position model. Lineage: Eukaryota; Metazoa; Arthropoda; Insecta; Diptera; Calliphoridae. The record is from RNAcentral.
AGAAAAUAGUUCAGCACUAAGUCACUUUGUCUUUAUGGCAAAUGUGAGAUGCAGUGUAUGGAAUGUCAAAUUUCUAGUAUGAGAAAUUAACGAUUUAAGUCCUUCUUAAAUGAGGCCAUUUACCCAAAGAGGGUGCCAGGCCCGUAUAACGUUAAUGAUUACUAGAUGGCAUUUCCAAAGAGUCGUGUUGCUUGAUAGUGCAGCACUAAGUGGGUGGUAAACUCCAUCUAAAACUAAAUAUAACCAUGAGACCGAUAGUAAACAAGUACCGUGAGGGAAAGUUGAAAAGAACUCUGAAUAGAGAGUUAAAUAGUACGUGAAACUGCUUAGAGGUUAAGCCCGAUGAACCUGAAUAUCCAUUAUGGAAAAUUCAUCAUUAUGAUUUUAAUAUUUGUAAUAUUAUAAUAAUGGUGUGCAUUUUUUCUAUAAAGGACAUUGUAAUCUAUUAACUUUAAUAUAUUUAUCAUAAGAUCAUUAGAUUAUGUUUAUUCAAAUUAUUUUGCUUGCAAUUUAAUAUCGAAUAAUUCUUUUGAUUUGAUAAAGNGUUGAUAGAUUUAUU